CUACUCUGGCACUGCACUCAUUUGUGAUCCUGGGAUCAUAUCCUAGUUAGCGGAGUCACUCUAUGAAUUAUUUCCUGGCCGUGACCAUGACUGUGAAGGUGGAAGAACACUGAGACGAUGCAGG
This 124-nucleotide long non-coding RNA is filed under the name Crocodylus porosus (Australian saltwater crocodile). Its description in RNAcentral is "lncRNA (ENSCPRG00005002751.1)". The record is from RNAcentral. Lineage: Eukaryota; Metazoa; Chordata; Crocodylia; Crocodylidae.